This 1550-nucleotide ribosomal RNA is filed under the name Triticum aestivum (bread wheat). RNAcentral describes it as "partial small subunit ribosomal RNA". The record is from RNAcentral. Lineage: Eukaryota; Viridiplantae; Streptophyta; Magnoliopsida; Poales; Poaceae.
AUGGCUCUGUUUCAGAGUUUCCCGCUCGCUGGCGCCUCCUCGGAUCCCACGACCCUCCUCCAGAACCAGUGCUCACGCCACACCCUGUCCACCUGCUCGAUCGGCACCCCCCUCGUCUCCGGCAGCAGGAGGUACACGAACACCGUCAUGGCCGCCAGCCACGCCGCGAAGAAGAAGAAAAUCCCGGCCCUCAUGCGGCACAGCAUCGCCAGGAACGUCUGCGCCACGAACACCGUGAAUACGAAGCUCGUCGCCACCGUCACGCCCUGCCCCGCCGACCGCACCUCCAGCGGGAAGAUCUCGCUCGGCACCAGCCACCCCAGCGGCCCCCACGACCACCCGAACCCGGCCACGUACACCGCGAUCAGGAGGAUCAGCGCCGCCGCCCAUGUCUUGCUCACGCCGCCGUCGUCGCCCAGCUUCGCCGCCAUGAUGGCCCCGAUCAGCAGCUGCGACGCGAGCAUCUGCGCGCCGCCGGCUAGGAAGAGCGUGCGGCGGCCGAAACGGUCGACGAGGAACAUGGAGAGGAGGGUGGAGGCCGCGCCGACCACGCCCGUGACCACCGCGGACAGGAGCGACGCGCUCUCGCCCAUGCCGAUCGUGCGCAGCAGCACCGGCGCGUAGAAGGCGAUCGCGUUGAUCCCCGUCACCUGCUGGAAGAAGGGGAUCGCCACGGCCAUCACCAGCUGCGGCCGGUACCGGCGCUGGGUGAGGAGCAUCCGGAGACCGCUGCUGCCAGCCACGGCACCGCUGUCGGCGGCGGCGACGAUGCCGUCGAGUUCGCGGUCGACGUCGUCGGUGCCGCGGAUCUUACGCAGCAAGACCGCCACCUCGCGGCGGUCCUUGCCCUGCUGGACGAGGCUGUUGGGCGUCUCCGGGAGGAAGACCGCGCCAACGAGCAGGAGCCCGGCCGGCACGGCGGCGAGGGACAGCGAGACGCGCCACCCCCAGCCUCCCUUGAUCUUCUCCGUGCCGAAGUUGAUGACGUUGGCCGCGAGCGCGCCGACGCCGACGCUGAACUGGAAGCCGUUGCUGAACGCGCCGCGGUGCCGCGGCGGCGCCAUCUCAGACAGGUACAGCGGGACGGCCUGGUUCGCGAAGCCCAGCCCGACCCCGAGGAGCACGCGCCCCAGGAUGGCCAUGUAGACGUUCAGCGACGCACCUCCGACGGCCGCGCCGGCGAGAAAGGCGGCCCCGCCAAGGAGCAUGGACGGGCGGCGGCCACGGCGGGCCGUGACGCCGGACGCGAGGAACGUGGUGAGCAGGCCGGCGACGUAGAGCGAGGAGGUGAAGGCGGUGAGGAGCUGGCUGUCGAACUUGCAGUAGUUGCUGACAUGGGAGUCGCCUUUCAUCCGGCGGUACACGUCCGGGAAGAACUUGCGCAGGAAAGGCUCCAUGGACAACACCCCGCCGGCGAUGCCGAUGUCGUAGCCGAAGAUGGCGCCGCCCAUGCCGGCGGUGAUGCACGACAGCACCACGAACAUGGUGACCCUUCCGCCGCCUCCUCCAUCAUUGCUCUCGGAGACGCCGACGACGCUGCCGGCCGCCAU